GACGAACGCUGGCGGCGUGCUUAACACAUGCAAGUCGAACGGAAAGGCCCUGCUUUUGUGGGGUGCUCGAGUGGCGAACGGGUGAGUAACACGUGAGUAACCUGCCCUUGACUUUGGGAUAACUUCAGGAAACUGGGGCUAAUACCGGAUAGGAGCUCCUGCUGCAUGGUGGGGGUUGGAAAGUUUCGGCGGUUGGGGAUGGACUCGCGGCUUAUCAGCUUGUUGGUGGGGUAGUGGCUUACCAAGGCUUUGACGGGUAGCCGGCCUGAGAGGGUGACCGGCCACAUUGGGACUGAGAUACGGCCCAGACUCCUACGGGAGGCAGCAGUGGGGAAUAUUGCACAAUGGGCGGAAGCCUGAUGCAGCAACGCCGCGUGCGGGAUGACGGCCUUCGGGUUGUAAACCGCUUUCGCCUGUGACGAAGCGUGAGUGACGGUAAUGGGUAAAGAAGCACCGGCUAACUACGUGCCAGCAGCCGCGGUGAUACGUAGGGUGCGAGCGUUGUCCGGAUUUAUUGGGCGUAAAGGGCUCGUAGGUGGUUGAUCGCGUCGGAAGUGUAAUCUUGGGGCUUAACCCUGAGCGUGCUUUCGAUACGGGUUGACUUGAGGAAGGUAGGGGAGAAUGGAAUUCCUGGUGGAGCGGUGGAAUGCGCAGAUAUCAGGAGGAACACCAGUGGCGAAGGCGGUUCUCUGGGCCUUUCCUGACGCUGAGGAGCGAAAGCGUGGGGAGCGAACAGGCUUAGAUACCCUGGUAGUCCACGCUGUAAACGGUGGGUACUAGGUGUGAGGUCCAUUCCACGGGUUCCGUGCCGUAGCUAACGCUUUAAGUACCCCGCCUGGGGAGUACGGCCGCAAGGCUAAAACUCAAAGGAAUUGACGGGGCCCCGCACAAGCGGCGGAGCAUGCGGAUUAAUUCGAUGCAACGCGUAGAACCUUACCUGGGUUUGACAUGGAUCGGGAGUGCUCAGAGAUGGGUGUGCCUCUUUUGGGGUCGGUUCACAGGUGGUGCAUGGCUGUCGUCAGCUCGUGUCGUGAGAUGUUGGGUUAAGUCCCGCAACGAGCGCAACCCUUGUUCACUGUUGCCAGCACGUUAUGGUGGGGACUCAGUGGAGACCGCCGGGGUCAACUCGGAGGAAGGUGGGGAUGACGUCAAGUCAUCAUGCCCCUUAUGUCCAGGGCUUCACGCAUGCUACAAUGGCUGGUACAGAGAGUGGCGAGCCUGUGAGGGUGAGCGAAUCUCGGAAAGCCGGUCCCAGUUCGGAUUGGGGUCUGCAACUCGACCUCAUGAAGUCGGAGUCGCUAGUAAUCGCAGAUCAGCAACGCUGCGGUGAAUACGUUCCCGGGGCU
RNAcentral lists this ribosomal RNA (1346 nucleotides) under uncultured bacterium. RNAcentral's name for it is "partial 16S ribosomal RNA". It matches the Rfam family "Bacterial small subunit ribosomal RNA", at positions 28 to 1381 of the family's 1533-position model. The record is from RNAcentral.